CGGAGGGUGCAAGCGUUAUCCGGAUUUACUGGGUUUAAAGGGUGCGUAGGCGGAUAAGUAAGUCCGUGGUGAAAUCCUGCAGCUUAACUGCAGAACUGCCGUGGAUACUAUUUGUCUUGAAUAUCGUGGAGGUUAGCGGAAUAUGUCAUGUAGCGGUGAAAUGCUUAGAUAUGACAUAGAACACCCAUUGCGAAGGCAGCUAACUACGCGAUUAUUGACGCUGAUGCACGAAAGCGUGGGGAUCAAACAGGAUUAGAUACCCUGGUAGUCCACGCCCUAAACGAUGAUUACUCGACAUUGGCGAUACACUGUCAGUGUCUGAGCGAAAGCAUUAAGUAGUCCACCUGGGAAGUACGAUCGCAAGAUUG
This 368-nucleotide ribosomal RNA is filed under the name uncultured organism. RNAcentral describes it as "bacterial SSU rRNA". It matches the Rfam family "Bacterial small subunit ribosomal RNA", at positions 526 to 896 of the family's 1533-position model. The record is from RNAcentral.